CAUGCCGUAAACGAUGAGUGCUAAGUGUUAGGGGGUUUCCGCCCCUUAGUGCUGCAGCUAACGCAUUAAGCACUCCGCCUGGGGAGUACGACCGCAAGGUUGAAACUCAAAGGAAUUGACGGGGGCCCGCACAAGCGGUGGAGCAUGUGGUUUAAUUCGAAGCAACGCGAAGAACCUUACCAGGUCUUGACAUCCCCAGUGACCACUCUAGAGAUAGAGUUUUCCCUUCGGGGACAUUGGUGACAGGUGG
RNAcentral lists this ribosomal RNA (250 nucleotides) under uncultured bacterium. RNAcentral describes it as "partial 16S ribosomal RNA". It matches the Rfam family "Bacterial small subunit ribosomal RNA", at positions 796 to 1041 of the family's 1533-position model. The record is from RNAcentral.